GCGUAACUGUUGGGUGACAUCAUCGUGCUGCAAGAUUAUUGGCUGCAGAAACGAAAAAAAAAAAGUUUCCUGGACUGUCAGCCUUUCCGGUAUCUGAACGAACAACUUGUCCUGUUACUGCAGUACAGCCAGAGAGCAGAGUGAAAAUGUGAGGUGAAGAGGCCGGCUUUCGACCACUUGAUCUGGAGGAAGCCAGCUGCCAUAGCAUGAGGACAGUUAGUGGACUAUGAAGAGGCCCAGGUGGUUAGGAAGUGAGGACCUCUGCGAACAGCUGAAGAAGAACUGGCCUUUUGUCAACAGUUCCAUGCUGUUUUUGUACAACAGAAGCUAUAUAAGCACCUACUUACCAGCACAGUACCACAGAUGCUACAAGGGAGAUCCUUUACCAAACGCCACAGUAUCCAACAAAACUGAAGAUACACAUACCACCAGAAAGGUUAUCAGAAUCCUGCUCCUAGACAUGCAUGCAACAGAAAUAGGUGCACAUGUACAUCAAAAGACAUGUAUAUGGAUGUGGAGAAAAGGGAACCCUCCUACACUCUUGGUGGGAUUAUAAAUUGGUGCAGCCACUAUGGAAAACAGUAUGGAAGAUCUUCAAAAAAUUAAAAAUAGAACUGUUACCAGUUUUGAUUCCCUCUCAUGGGACUUAAACCCACAAUUAGAAGGGACCCAAGGAAGAACCCAG
This 685-nucleotide long non-coding RNA is filed under the name Equus asinus (donkey). Its description in RNAcentral is "lncRNA (ENSEASG00005034737.1)". Lineage: Eukaryota; Metazoa; Chordata; Mammalia; Perissodactyla; Equidae. The record is from RNAcentral.